Molecule: ribosomal RNA, 253 nt
Filed under: uncultured bacterium
Lineage: Bacteria
Description: partial 16S ribosomal RNA
Rfam family: Bacterial small subunit ribosomal RNA
Source: RNAcentral
UACGUAGGGUGCAAGCGUUGUCCGGAAUUAUUGGGCGUAAAGAGCUCGUAGGCGGUUUGUCGCGUCGAGUGUGAAAACCCGGGGCUCAACCCCGGGCCUGCAUUCGAUACGGGCAGACUAGAGUUCGGUAGGGGAGUCUGGAAUUCCUGGUGUAGCGGUGAAAUGCGCAGAUAUCAGGAGGAACACCGGUGGCGAAGGCGGGACUCUGGGCCGAUACUGACGCUGAGGAGCGAAAGCGUGGGGAGCGAACAGG